UCUGUGGAAAUCAGUUUGGACAGGACACACUAGGUAAGAGAGGGAGGAACUCAGAAUAACUACCUGAGGAACGGCUGUCAGUGAAUUUUUAGCCACAAUGAAUCACAGAUGAUACGAUCAUGGUGAGAAGGCAAAGGGAAAUCAUGUUAUCAAAGGGGAAGACUUCAGUGAAGGCGGCUGCAU
Molecule: long non-coding RNA, 183 nt
Organism: Gavialis gangeticus (Gharial)
Lineage: Eukaryota; Metazoa; Chordata; Crocodylia; Gavialidae
Exons: 3
Source: RefSeq, a predicted model, not a curated record